Long non-coding RNA from Mirounga angustirostris (Northern elephant seal), 1905 nucleotides. RefSeq lists it as uncharacterized. The record is from RefSeq and is a predicted model, not a curated record. Lineage: Eukaryota; Metazoa; Chordata; Mammalia; Carnivora; Phocidae. The transcript is spliced from 8 exons.
CGCGGCCGCGUGGGUUCCUCGGAGCCUGAGGGGCUGGGGCCGCGUCCGAGCGCGGGCUGGCGGUAGCCCGCCAAAAUACCCGUGAGUAGGAAGAGGCAAAGACCCCUCCCUCGCUGUUUAUAAACACCGCUACCUGCCCCGUGGAGACCUUAAAUAUCGUCUCCAGGCGAGGAGGUCCAACUACGUACAUCCUCACAAAAAGUUGCACCCCGGUCAGGAAAUGCCUGGAGGCAUCGCAGCGAUGGCAGUCUCCGCAGUGACUGACGUCCCGAAUUCGCCCGUGAGGAUUCACAACGAUCUUCCCAGGCAAAUAUGAAUUACAUUAUUCUUAGGGAGGUCCGAGAAGAGAGUCUGCAACUUGGGCCAGGUGCAAAGUGAGGAGUGGAGUGAAGACUCAGACUCAAGAGAAAAUCUUACUGGAGAAAACCAUGCCAGGCCUGAGAACGUUGAGUACCCGAGGCCAAGUUCAACAAGGCCAGGGAACUUUCUGGCAAGAAAUGAUCCCAUCUGUAACAAGGCCAGUCUCAUGGGCUGUAGCUCACAAUUGGCAGGAAGUUAUGGUGCCAUAACCCAUAUGGAAUAAGAUUCAUCAUUGGGCCCCUGGACUUCUCACCUAGGACUAAGAAUGCCCCUUUGAAUGUCUUCCCUCCUGCCCAGUAGAUUGAAGAUCCAUUGGAGAGUCUGACUCUGGAACCAGUGCUUCAGACAGACAUUGUUGAAGCUGGAUUAAGUGGAUGUACAAGGACCUGCACAUUUGGUACCAGCAUCCUCCCAGUUCACCCCAUACCUCACCCACGUGGACUCAUCAUCCUCAUUUUUGUGCUGCCAAACUUUGCGCAUACCACUUCCUUGCCUGGGAAGGAUUUUCUGGUUCUGCUCGCCUGGAAAAGCCCAAUCAUUCUUCAAGAACCAGCUCCAAGGUCACCUCCUCUAUGAAGGCUCCCCUGAGAGAGGAGGGAACUGUCGUCUAUACACUCAGUUAUUCACCCGACACAUGCUUAUUGAGUGCUGUCCGCACCCUUCAGCCAAGACCACCAGGAACAUGCCAGCAAUGAACUAAGACUGGAUUGGAGAGAGGAGGUGGGAAACCUAUCCCCUGAUGGCACAGCAGAGACAGAGGACAAGGCCAUCCCUAUAGGGGUGAAUCCGCCUUCACCAAGAGUGCCUUCAAGAGGCUGAGGUCCAGGGAACCCGAGAAGACUGAACACAGGUGGGACUACACCUGGGAAAAAAAAUCAAAAAGCGGCAAGGAGGAUGCAAAGGACCCAUGGGAGAAGGUCUCCAAGUGUCUUGGGCUUUAAGUAAGACCAAGGAAUAAGAAAACCAGAAAGAAGCAGGUCUUCCUUAGCACCCAUGUGUUCAUGACUGGCUAACUUUGGCCAACAUAAGAGAGAUCAUCACUGCAGGAGAGAAAAACAUAAAAAUUCUCAACGAUCUCCCUGCCUACUCUGCUCCUGCCCAUCUCCCACGGCCCCUCAUGUACAGCCAGUGCUGCUUUUCCGUUCACGCUGAAACUGGGGGUUUUGGAAGAGUGUCAUCUGGUUUCGUUCAGGCACUGUUUUUCAGUGACUAUGUCAACGUGACAUCAACAUGUUCUGCCUAAUAGCUAUGGGGUACAAAGUGAGGAAAACACAUGCAUAUUGGGAAACAAUUUUGCCACAAAACCGAAGUAUGAAGUUCACGUGAGUACUCACUGAUAAAGGUGAUUUUGAAAAGCUGUUUUUACCUUACAGAUACAUUGCCUUAGGCAGACCCAAAAAUGUUGCAUGGAGAAACUCUUUGGGCCACAAGGGCACUACUGAUACCCCCAAAUAUUCCCAUCUUUCAUUUGAGUGGUCUUGCCUCAUUGUACUAGAGGUUGUUUCCUAUCUCAUCAUUCCUGUUGUUGGGUGGGGGGGAGAGGUC